This 443-nucleotide ribosomal RNA is filed under the name uncultured bacterium. RNAcentral's name for it is "partial 16S ribosomal RNA". It matches the Rfam family "Bacterial small subunit ribosomal RNA", at positions 338 to 795 of the family's 1533-position model. The record is from RNAcentral.
CCUACGGGUGGCAGCAGUCGGGAAUAUUGGGCAAUGGAGGCAACUCUGACCCAGCAAUGCCGCGUGAAUGAUGAAGGUUUUCGGAUUGUAAAGUUCUGUUAUCAAGGAAGAAAAAAAUGACGGUACUUUAUUAGUAAGCCCCGGCUAACUAUGUGCCAGCAGCCGCGGUGAUACGUAGGGGGCAAGCGUUAUCCGGAAUGACUGGGUGUAAAGGGUGCGUAGGUGGUUUAUUAAGUUAGAGGUGAAAGCCCGGGGCUCAACCUCGGAACUGCCUUUAAAACUGGUUGGCUUGAGUGUGGGAGAGGUUAGUGGAACUCCUAGUGUAGCGGUGGAAUGCGUAGAUAUUAGGAAGAACAUCAGAGGCGAAGGCGACUAACUGGAAUGUAACUGACACUGAAACACGAAAGCGUGGGGAGCAAACAGGAUUAGAUACCCCAGUAGUC